AUCUAGUCAAUAAUAGUGUUAACUUUAUUAUAUCGUAUUUAAAUAAGUACACGCACAGUAUCAAAGUAACUAGGGGUGCCAUUUAUAAUGGUCCCGGGUUUUAAGAUACGUGGAGCAUUCCGUCGACAGUACAAUAAUGUUUGACUUUUUAUCAUCAACAUUCUAUUAAAUGUUGUUAGAUUAUAAAGUUUAUUUAUACUUAAUAACUACUUACUUAAUAUAUACCUAGUUUACAAAUAAAUAAAAAGGUAUUUUAUUAAAAUCUAGUUCUUCAUCGGUGUUAUGACGAAUAGGUACUUAUGACGACUGGAUGCGCAGGGGUUUUGUCUGACUUCUCCCGAUGUGUUACCGCUGUCCAAUCAUGUUGAGACAGAUAUUUUUUAGAAUAUUAACGGCUUGUACGUUGUACCUACCAAGUAGGCGGUUUCCAACCAAUGCAUCAAUAUCGUAAAAAGAAGGGUGUCAUUCUAUCAGUGAGCUUGUCGAAACCGUCGACACACACGAUUGAUUAUAAUCAGUUUAGCACCAUCGCCAGUACCUACUGUCCACUAUCCACCUGAGAGGAUAUCUGGAUAUCUCAAGGACUUUGUAUUGUAUUAUACAAAGUCCUUGGGAUAGGGAACUAAAGAACCAUCGAAACUUUCGAUACUUCCCAAGGAUACACUAUUUCGAUUCGAAACAUGAACGAAACGGAAAUAACAAGAAGAAUCAUAGAAUAAUAUUGUUGUCCUAGAAGAAUAUCUAUGGUAGCGAAGACAUAUUCUUUGUCACGUCACUCUGACAACAUUCGGUAGAAAAUUUUCCAAUCUUUUAACGUUUUAUAAUAUUGUUUUGGUUUAUAAAGCAAUCAAAUAUGUCUGAAUCUAGCUUCAUUUGGUCUAUAAUCUGGCUGUGUGUGUUGGUAUUAAUUUCAUUUUGGAUCGCGGGGUUCGCAGCCCCCUGCUACAUCAUCCUAUUGCCCUUCACCGUUUACAUGACAUCGCUAAAGGAUACAACGGACUUCUUGAAAAAAGCAAUGGAAUUUCCAAAAUAUUGUGCCCAACAGAUGAAAGCCGGCAAAUCAUUGUCAUAGCGACACGAGCUGCUUCUGAAGCAGCUUUCCAAUGUCCGUUCAUUUACUCGUUGGUACCAAAGGUACUAGUCAAUAAUAAUGAAAGCAUAAUACCUGUGCUUAAAAGUAAAUAAAUGAAAUAUUUUCAA
Long non-coding RNA from Plutella xylostella (diamondback moth), 1200 nucleotides. RefSeq lists it as uncharacterized. The record is from RefSeq and is a predicted model, not a curated record. NCBI's taxonomy places the organism in Eukaryota, Metazoa, Arthropoda, Insecta, Lepidoptera, Plutellidae.